AUGUCUUCCUCCACCCAAGUUCCAUCCAUAGGCCUGUCCAGUACCACAUCCGAGCCUCUCACAAGAACCAACUACAUCCUAUGGAAAGCCCAAGUUCGCUCCCAAAUCAUGGGUGCCGGACUAUAUGGGUACCUAGAUCAAACCACACCCGAGCCAGCCAAAACAAUCAUCACCAAAAACUCAGAAGGAAACGAGCAGAUUGUUCCAAACCCUGCCUAUAACCCAUGGCUGAUUCAAGAUCAGCAGAUUGUAGCCUUUCUCCUUCGAAAUCUCUCAAAGGAGGUACUCAUCCAGGUUGCUUCUUUAGAAACUUCCCACGCCAUAUGGUCAGCCCUAGCAAAGAUGUUCACCGCACAAUCUCUCUCCCGUGUAAACAACUGCCGCAUAGCCCUAUCCAAUGCUCAUAAAGGUUCACAGAGUGCCACAACCUAUUUUGGUCAGAUGAGGGCCCUCUCUGAUGAACUAGCUGCGGCUGGGAAACCCAUCGGAGAAGGAGAACUUCUUUCCUUUAUCAUUGCAGGGCUCGACAUGGACUAUCAGCCGCUGAUCUCAGCGCUGGACGUACGCACCGAACCCCUCUCGGUGGAUGACCUCUUCGGCAUGGUUGCAAAUUUUGACCAACGCGUUGAGAUGUUCCACGGGACAGGGGCAGGUGCCUUCAAAUCCUCCGCCAAUGUUGCAGCUUGA
Molecule: ribosomal RNA, 687 nt
Filed under: Triticum aestivum (bread wheat)
Lineage: Eukaryota; Viridiplantae; Streptophyta; Magnoliopsida; Poales; Poaceae
Description: partial small subunit ribosomal RNA
Source: RNAcentral